Molecule: long non-coding RNA, 944 nt
Organism: Homo sapiens (human)
Lineage: Eukaryota; Metazoa; Chordata; Mammalia; Primates; Hominidae
Product: long intergenic non-protein coding RNA 1013
Source: Ensembl
GGAUGCCUUCUUAAUCACAGCCUGUGUGGGUAAAGGGAAAGCCUUGCCUGGCCAACCCCUCCCACUCCCACCCCCACCUCCUGCAUUGAUUCACAAACCUGGACUGCUCUGGAGGAGGCUGGGAAAGUCCAUCCCCAGGGAAUACCACUUUUUUCCUCUUCUGUGCCUCUCACAGGACACCCACAUGACUAGGAGGAGGCAGAAAGUGAAUAGGGAGCUCUUAUUACUUUUUGAGUGUCAGCAAGUUAAGACAUCAUCUCCAGAAAACUGUGCUAGUUGGCAUCCAGCAGUGCCCAAGUAUUAUUUAACCCACUAGAACCUGUGACUGCAUCAGCUUUAUAUCCUGGACCUCAGCCUGGAACAAAGGAGAGCUACACUUGGAUACUAAACACAAGUGGUCUGGAUAGAUUAUGCUGGGAAAAGAAGCCUGGAGCAGGCAGUACAGUGGGAGAACAAGGAGAGAAUGGAGUUGCAGCAGACUGCUCAGGAAUUGUACAUCACCAGUAGCUUCUGUCUCAGCUAAGUGUGGGAGACUGAUACUGAUGAGCCAUUAACAAUGGUGGAGAUUCUGAAUCACUGAAGCACUUGAUAAAAGAAAUGUCGUGGGUGAUGUGAAAAUCUACAUAUGCCCAUGAGAGUAUAUUGAGUUUGUAAGUGUUGUUGCUUAGUGUGUCACAGAGAAGUUUAUAAGAAACUAUUUUGGAGUAAGAAACAACACAGAAGAACACAGUUUCAGCCUGAAAUGGCUUAUUUAGCCACUGACCAUCAGAAACAAUUACUUUUUACCUUAACCUAGAUUUGUAAUAGCAGGAUGCAUUGAAUUCCUUCAUUGAAGUGAAACCUUAGCAAAUCUUUAAGUAGUACUCUAAAGUGACAAAAGGUGUUUACAUUUACUAAUGUAAAUUUCUUGUGGAGAUAAAGUUUUUAUUCUUCUUGGGUCUCAA